RNAcentral lists this ribosomal RNA (427 nucleotides) under uncultured bacterium. Its description in RNAcentral is "partial 16S ribosomal RNA". It matches the Rfam family "Bacterial small subunit ribosomal RNA", at positions 355 to 774 of the family's 1533-position model. The record is from RNAcentral.
UGGGGAAUAUUGGACAAUGGGCGAAAGCCUGAUCCAGCCAUGCCGCGUGUGUGAAGAAGGUCUUCGGAUUGUAAAGCACUUUAAGUUGGGAGGAAGGGCAUUAACCUAAUACGUUAGUGUUUUGACGUUACCGACAGAAUAAGCACCGGCUAACUCUGUGCCAGCAGCCGCGGUAAUACAGAGGGUGCAAGCGUUAAUCGGAAUUACUGGGCGUAAAGCGCGCGUAGGUGGUUUGUUAAGUUGGAUGUGAAAUCCCCGGGCUCAACCUGGGAACUGCAUUCAAAACUGACUGACUAGAGUAUGGUAGAGGGUGGUGGAAUUUCCUGUGUAGCGGUGAAAUGCGUAGAUAUAGGAAAGAACACCAGUGGCGAAGGCGACCACCUGGACUAAUACUGACACUGAGGUGCGAAAGCGUGGGGAGCAAACA